RNAcentral lists this ribosomal RNA (253 nucleotides) under uncultured bacterium. Its description in RNAcentral is "partial 16S ribosomal RNA". It matches the Rfam family "Bacterial small subunit ribosomal RNA", at positions 524 to 776 of the family's 1533-position model. The record is from RNAcentral.
GGCAGAGGUGCCAAGCGUUAGGCGGAAUCACUGGGCUUAAAGCGUGUGUAGGCGGGUGCCUAAGUACCUUGUGAAAUCCCCCGGCUCAACCGGGGAACGGCUGGGUAUACUGGGUGCCUUGGGUCAUCUAGGGGCUGCCGGAACAAAUGGUGGAGCGGUGAAAUGCGUAGAUAUCAUUUGGAACGCCAACGGCGAAAGCAGGCAGCUGGGGAUGCACCGACGCUGAGACACGAAAGCCAGGGGAGCGAACGGG